Lingula anatina is the source of this 1238-nucleotide long non-coding RNA. RefSeq lists it as uncharacterized. NCBI's taxonomy places the organism in Eukaryota, Metazoa, Brachiopoda, Lingulata, Lingulida, Lingulidae. The record is from RefSeq and is a predicted model, not a curated record.
AAGGACUAGGGGUGAAGGUCAUUCAAAGUGAAAACCCAUCAUUUCUCAUACAAAAGUAUGAAAUCGAUUGUGAAAAGUAUGGUGAUAUUUGCUUUUGGAAUAUAUGCAGGGAUCUUCGUAGACCAAAGAUACCAGAUUCCACGUGUUCCAGAUCCUUCACAGAUGGCAGAAAUGAUCCAGGCUAAAUUUAGCCAAUAUCAGAAAAAGUUGAAAAACGAUGAAGAUGAAGGCAAAUGACUCUAUCCAAAAUGGAAUAAUUUAUUCAGACUGGGAAUCACUGUUUUCCUGUUUUUUUUUUCUUAAAUUUAAGGGAAUGGUUAUUAGGAGAAUAAGAUAGAAUGUUUACUUCUGAGAUGUUAAUUCUAUGAUGAGAGUUUUGGCUCCAUAGAACAGCUGAUCAAGCAUCUCUCUUUUAACUUAUUUAUUGAUCCUUUGCUUGCUGUCUGAACUUUUAACUGUCAACAUACGAUGUGAUCUUUAACUGCAGGAUAAUGAAGGAAGAAUUUAAUUAUCUUUCAAGCCAUGUAUGAAAUUAUGUUUAGACCACGGUGGAAGUGAAGAACAAAAGACUCGGACGUGGUGUAACUCGGAUAACUGCAUUUUAUCCCGCUUAUGGACCCGUGGUCUAAAUAACACGUGUAUAACGCACUCUUGUAUGCCACAUAACCCUCGCUGACUCGGGGUCUAUCUAUUACUUAAACUAUGUGAUGAAGGACCACGCCUUUGUCCACUGACAUGUAAUUCUUCUACAUAACAUACCUCAGGGUUAAACAUCGAUCUGCUGGAUCAUGGGGACCUUACUUGACUUGUUGGUGUUGCAGGAUUAAGGAAUUAAUUCCUAGUCUGCUGCUGCUGAUAAACUCACAAGCAGCAGUUUCAUAAUGUACUACAAGUUAAUCCUGUGUCUCACAAACAGGUCCCUUGAAUGUGUUGCAGUGAUAGAAAGACACUGGCAUCUUUUUAAGGUUAAAGAUGUCAUUUGAAGGAAGAAAAACUUUUUGAGAGAGUGUGAAACCAGUAAUUUAUGAUUACGAAGUGUAGCUUACGUAACUUGAUAUCAUUAUUGUGUUAUUGUUGUUUUGUCCACAAAGAAACUUUGACACUAAAGCAGGUAAUACUUGCAUUCAGUGAUAGUUAUAGAUCACUUACUAACUUUCUUAAUUCGGACUAGAAAGACUUUUUCGUUGUCUAAAUUUUUUUUAAAAUUUAAACUGAAAUAAAAAAGAAUAUAUGCUACA